Long non-coding RNA from Capsicum annuum, 4038 nucleotides. RefSeq lists it as uncharacterized. The transcript is spliced from 2 exons. Lineage: Eukaryota; Viridiplantae; Streptophyta; Magnoliopsida; Solanales; Solanaceae. The record is from RefSeq and is a predicted model, not a curated record.
AUGAUAAUCGCGAAGGUGCCUAAAGUUGGAAGAUUAUUUCCUAUACAAUUUUCCAUUCCUCCCGUUAUAUCUUUUGCUUGUACUUCUACAGCUAAUAAUUCUAAGCUUUGGUAUAAGCAUCUAGGACAUCCAAAUUAUGUUGUGUUGUCUCAUUUAUCAAAUUCUGGUUUAUUAGGAAGUAAAAAUCAAUUUUUCCCUGCUUCAUUUGAUUGUUCUACUUGUAAAUUAGGCAAAAGUAAAAUUCUUCCUUUUCCUAAUUUGGUAGUCGUGCUACAAAGUUUUUUGAUGUUGUUCAUAGUGAUGUUUGGGGUAUUUCACCAAUUAUUUCUCAUGCUCAGUUCAAGUACUUUGUGACAUUCAUCGAUGAUUAUAGUCGAUUUACGUGGGUGUAUUUUCUUCAUACCAAAUCUGAAGUAUUUUCCAUGUUCAAGAUAUUUUUGGCUUACAUUGAGACUCAAUUUUCUACUUGUAUCAAAUUAUUAAGAUCUGAUUCUCGUAUAGAAUUUAUGUCAAAUGAGUUCAAAAAUUUUUUGCUUGACAAAGGAAUUGUCUCACAACGCUUUGUCCAUAUACACCACAAAAAAAUGGGGUUGCUGAGCAUAAAAAUCGUCAUCUUUUAGAUAUCACUCGUACUUUAUUGAUUUUGUCCUCUGUCCCAUCUAAAUAUUGGAUUGAAGCUUUGUCUACUGCUUUCUAUUUAAUUUACAGACUGCCAUCUAAAGUGUUAAAUCUUGAGUCUCCAUAUUUUCGUCUUUAUCAUAAAAAUCCAAGCUAUGAUAAUUUUCAUACAUUUGGUUGUAUUUGUUUUAUGUAUCUUCCUCCUUCUCAGCGUAAUAAACUUUCUGUUCAGUAUACUAAAUGUGUUUUUAUGGAUUAUAUUACUUCACAGAAAGGAUUUCUCUAUUAUGAUCCAUGUUCUAAUAAAUUUCAUGUUUCUAUAAAUGUUGUUUUCUUUGAGAGUCCGAUUUUUUCCUACUCAUGUUGUCAUAUCCUGCUUCUCUUCUUCCUACUUUUGAAGAUUUGUCAUCUUGUUCUAAGAGAUUCAAACCCAGAUUUGUGUACGAAUGUCAGCGGCCAACUUUACCCCCUCCUGAUAUUGAUCCGCCACCUGAAACUGCACCAUAACUAGAAUUUGAGAAUUCUUCAAGGUCUGCUCCUCUUGAGCCCACUUGACGAUCUACGAGAGUAUCUCGUACUCCUAAUUGGUAUGGCUUUUCAUCUACUUUAUCUACCAUUUUUGUUCCAACUUAUUACUCAUAAGCUUCUAAGCAUGAAUGUUGGCAGAAAGUAAUCGAGGAAGAACUUUUGGCUCUCAUAGAAAAUGGCACAUGGGAUAUUAUUUCAUGUCCUUCAAACGUCCAUCCAAUUAGAUAUAAACGGGUUUAUUCUAUUAAAUUUUAUUCUAAUGGAACUCUUGAUCGGUACAAAGCUCGAUUGGCUGUUCUUGAUAGCAAGCAGGAGUAUGGUGUGAACUAUGAAGAGACUUUUGCACCAGUAGCAAAAAUGACGAUGGUGAGAACUAUUGUUGCCAUUGCUGCUUCACAAAACUGGACUCUUCAUCAAAUGGAUGUCAAAAAUACUUUUUUCAUGGUGAUGUCAAAGAGGAUAUUUAUAUGAAACUUCCACCAGGUUUGUUCUUAUUGCCUACAUCAGAUAUAUGCAAGUUGAAACGGUCUUUGUAUGGAUUAAAACAAGCUCCCAGAGCUUGGUUUAACAAAUUUCGGUCUACUUUUCUACAAUUCUCUUUUAAGCAGAGCAACUAUGACUCAUCUUUGUUUCUUUGGAAAGUAUCCACAGGUUGUGUUCUUCUUUUGGUAUAUGUCGAUGACAUUAUUAUUACAGGAACUGAUUCUUCACUAAUCACUAGACUGCAACAACAACUUAAGGAUUCUUUCCAUAUAAAAGAUCUUGGUACUCUUACAUAUUUCUUGGGUUUGGAAGUUCAUCGUGAUUCAUCCGGUGUGUUUCUAAAUCAACACAAAUAUACCCAAAAUUUGAUUUAUUUGGAAGGUCUUCAGGAUUCCUCCUCUGUGGAUACUCUAUUAUAAUUGAAUAUGAAGUAUCGUUGGGAGGAAGGCGAUCUUAUCUAACUAUUUUUCAACAAUUAGUUGGGAGCUUAAAUUACCUUACUAUUACCAGUCCUGAUAUCUCUUUUGCAGUUCAACAAGUUAGUCAGUUCAUGCAAGCUUCCCGUCAUCUUCAUUUGGUGGCUUUCCGUCACAUCAUUUGAUACCUCAGAGGAACAUCUAAUCGUGGAUUAUUCUUCCCUAGUGGUUCGCCUAUUCGUCUUAAUCCUUUUAGUGAUUCUGAUUGGGCGGGAUGUUCUGAUACUCAUCGUUCAGUUACUAGUUGGUGCAUGUUUCUUGGAGAGUCUUUGAUAUCUUAGAAGUUUAAGAAGCAAGACCGCGUGUCAAAAUCUUCAACAGAGGCUGAAUAUCGAGCAAUGUCUACUGCUUGCUCUGAGAUUGUGUGGAUUCGUGGACUACUUGAUGAGAUUGGAUUUCCUCAAUCUAAUCCUACUCCUCUCCGUGCUGACAAUACAAGUGCUAUUCAGAUUGCUACUAAUCCGGUUUAUCAUGAGAGGACCAAACACAUCGAAGUAGACUGUCAUUAUAUAUGAGAAAUUGUAGAUAAAGGUGUCAUUACUCUUCCGCACGUGUCCAGUGAUCUUGAAAUAGUUGAUGCAUUUACAAAAUCAAUGGCACAACAACGACAUCAGUUUCUCGUUGGCAAAUUGAUGCUUCUUGAUCUACCAGCAUUAAUUUGAGGGGGAUGUUAGCAUGAUGUAAAUAUUGUAUAUUAAUGUAAUCGUAUAUUGUUUUAUAUUAGUGUAAUUACAUAGAUUUGAUUUAGUCGUUAAAGAGAAUAAUAGUGAGUUUAGUAAGAGCAGAUUUGGUGGGAUAGAAUAGUAGAUUUAGAGGGAUAGAAAAACUGAUCUUUAGGGAUAGGAAGACGGAUCUUUAGGGAUGUAAUCAUUGAAUAUUUUCUAUUUAAUGACAUGACUCUCAAUAUUGAGAGGCAUUCAGCAGAAAAUUGACAGAAAUACCCUCAGGAGGUCUUUUCAAGAACCUCUCGAGUCAGUUUUUCAUCUACAAUGAAGCAUUGUGUGGUUCUUCAAGAUUUAGUGUCCUGCCAUGCCCCCACUUCAUCAAAGCAUAAAUCAAAUAGGAAAAAAUUCCUAGUUCUUCUUCUUUUGCUCGCAAUUGUAGUUGUAUUUGUUCCUAUGACCUUUGUGCUCCUGUGGAUAAGGUAUGGAAGAGGUAAAAGUGUUCCUCAGCAAGCUGACUUAUUGUCUACCAUAGCAAGAGAAAGGAUUUCAUACUAUGAACUUCUCUGAGCAACUAAUGCGCUUAGCGAGAGUAAUCUGAUUGGUUCUGGAAGUUUUGGCUCUGUUUACAAAAGCAUUCUCAGAAGUGGAACUGCCACUGCAGUUAAUGUUUUCAACCUGCAAUUGGAUGCGGCAUUCAGGAGUUUUGAUACGGAAUGUGAAGUGUUGUGUAGCCUUCUCCAUAGGAAUCCGUAAAUGUCAUUACUAGUUGCUCGUAAAUAAUUAAUGUCAUUCAACACUGGGUUGUAUUGCUCCAGAGUAUGGACUGGAUGGAUUAGGGUCAACAAAAUGCGAUGUCUAUAGCUACGGGAUCAUGUUGCUGGAAGCGUUUACUAGGAGAAAGCUUAAUGAGUUUGAGGGAGAUCUUAGCUUGAAGAAAUGGGUUAGUUAUUCACUUCCAGAGGAAGUCAUGGACGUCGUAGAUUCCAACUUGCUAACAUCAACUGGCAAUCGCUUACAGAAGGAGCUAGAUCUUGUGGCAUAAAUCAUGAAAGUUGCAUUAGAUUGUUGUGCUGAAUAUCCGGUAAGGACAAACAUGAAAGGUGUUGUAGGGAUGCUGCAGAAGAUCAAGAUUCUACUUCUUGCAUGCUAAGCAUGUUCUUGGAAUCUCUCAUCUCUUCAAGUCUCUUGUUUGUUGCAAAUGUCUGCUAAAUUAGUGGAAUAAUGUAAACAUUUCUUUCUUUGCUUUGUUUUAGCAUUUGAUUUCCUCU